CCAGUAGUCAUAUGCUUGUCUCAAAGAUUAAGCCAUGCAUGUCUAAGUAUAAGCAAUCAUACUGUGAAACUGCGAAUGGCUCAUUAAAUCAGUUAUCGUUUAUUUGAUAGUACCUUUACCUGGAUAACCGUGGUAAUUCUAGAGCUAAUACAUGCUAAAAACCCCGACUUCGGAAGGGGUGUAUUUAUUAGAUAAAAAACCAAUGCCCUCUGGGCUCCUUGGUGAUUCAUAAUAACUUAACGAAUCGCAUGGCCUUGCGCCGGCGAUGGUUCAUUCAAAUUUCUGCCCUAUCAACUUUCGAUGGUAAGAUAGAGGCUUACCAUGGUCUUAACGGGUAACGGAGAAUUAGGGUUCGAUUCCGGAGAGGGAGCCGGAGGAACGGCUACCACAUCCAAGGAAGGCAGCAGGCGCGCAAAUUACCCAAUGCUAAUUCAGCGAGGUAGUGACAAUAAAUACUGAUACGGGGCUCUUUCGGGUCUCGUAAUUGGAAUGAGUACAAUCUAAAUCCCUUAACGAGGAACAAUUGGAGGGCAAGUCUGGUGCCAGCAGCCGCGGUAAUUCCAGCUCCAAUAGCGUAUAUUAAAGUUGUUGCCGUUAAAAAGCUCGUAGUUGAACCUUGGACCUGGCUGAUCUGUCCUCCUAAUCGAGCGCACGGAUUCGGUCGGGUCUUUCCUUCUGGGGAGCCCUAUGCCCUUCACUGGGUGUAGUGGGGAACCAGGACUUUUACCUUGAAAAAAUUAGAGUGUUCAAAGCAGGCCUUUGCUCGAAUACAUUAGCAUGGAAUAAUAGAAUAGGACAUCGGUUCUAUUUUGUUGGUUUCUAGGACCGCUGUAAUGAUAAUAGGGAUAGUCCGGGGCGUCAGUAUUCAAUUGUCAGAGGUGAAUUCUUGGAUUUAUUAAAGACUAACUACUGCGAAAGCAUUGCCAAGGAUGUUUUCCUUUAUCAGUGACGAGG
RNAcentral lists this ribosomal RNA (954 nucleotides) under uncultured fungus. RNAcentral describes it as "SSU rRNA". It matches the Rfam family "Eukaryotic small subunit ribosomal RNA", at positions 17 to 988 of the family's 1831-position model. The record is from RNAcentral. Lineage: Eukaryota; Fungi.